Molecule: ribosomal RNA, 454 nt
Filed under: uncultured bacterium
Lineage: Bacteria
Description: bacterial SSU rRNA
Rfam family: Bacterial small subunit ribosomal RNA
Source: RNAcentral
GAUAAACGCUGGCGGCGUGCCUAACACAUGCAAGUCGAACGAUCCCGCAAGGGAGAGUGGCGGAAGGGUGAGUAACACGUGGGAAUCUACCUCCUCGCAGGGAACAACCUCUCGAAAGAGAGGCUAAUACCCAAAAGGGUCAGAAAUGAUCAGAGUCGAAAGGCGUGAGGAGAGGAGCCCGCGGCCUAUCAGCUAGUUGGUGAGGUAAUGGCUUACCAAGGCUACGACGGGUAGGGGAUCUGAGAGGAUGUCCCCCACACUGGAACUGAAACACGGUCCAGACGCCUACGGGUGGCAGCAGUGAGGAAUAUUGGACAAUGGGCGAAAGCCCGAUCCAGCAACGCCGCGUGGAGGAUGAAGGCCUUCGGGUCGUAAACUUCUUUAGAGGGAGACGAGAAAGGACGGUAUCCCUAGAAUAAGCGACGGCAAACUACGUGCCAGCAGCCGCGGUAAU